Molecule: small nucleolar RNA, 136 nt
Organism: Erinaceus europaeus (western European hedgehog)
Lineage: Eukaryota; Metazoa; Chordata; Mammalia; Eulipotyphla; Erinaceidae
Source: Ensembl
GUGCAUCUACUUGACAGACCUGGAGCAGUUAUACUGUCUGCUACUAAGGUUUCCACUACAGAUGCAAGAGAAAAGUAUCCUCGCGCUUUCUGCCUGCCUGCCUGUGGCAGCUAAGAUUGAAUGGGGGAAUACAGUA